UAGUCUGCAACUCGACUACAUGAAGCUGGAAUCGCUAGUAAUCGCGGAUCAGAAUGCCGCGGUGAAUACGUUCCCGGGUCUUGUACACACCGCCCGUCACACCAUGGGAGUCAGUAACGCCCGAAGCCGGUGACCCAACCUAUUCUGGAGGGAGCCGUCGAAGGCGGGACGGAUGACUGGGGUGAAGUCGUAACAAGGUAUC
Molecule: ribosomal RNA, 202 nt
Filed under: uncultured bacterium
Lineage: Bacteria
Description: partial 16S ribosomal RNA
Rfam family: Bacterial small subunit ribosomal RNA
Source: RNAcentral